This is a long non-coding RNA of Xiphophorus maculatus (southern platyfish), 5991 nucleotides long. RefSeq lists it as uncharacterized. The transcript has 3 exons. The record is from RefSeq and is a predicted model, not a curated record. NCBI's taxonomy places the organism in Eukaryota, Metazoa, Chordata, Actinopteri, Cyprinodontiformes, Poeciliidae.
CUACAUACAACAAAAAUGUAUGUAAGUUUUGAACUUCUAAAUGACCAAUUAUCGGUGUACUCCAUGUAUUACAAAGAACAUGGAUAUCUCAUAAGAUUGUUUACGGUAACAGUAGAUGGAAGGGAUGAAUGAAUGCCUGAGGGGGAAGUUUAUCUGCAGCCACUUGAGAGUAUGAAAACAGCUUAGCAACAUAAAAGUUGUCCAAAAAAGUGGAAAGUUUGAAGAUGCAUGUAAACAAAUUAGAAUAAAGCAUUACAUUAAUAUGAAACUAAAAACUAAAAGUGUCAAAGUGGCAUUGAGCCAAAUCUGCCUGAAGAUUUUCUUCAUGGAAGCAGAAAAAUGAAAAGAGGAAUUCUCAGAAAUAGAUCCAAUUAUAAAAACAGGCACAUAUUGUGUUCAGAACGGUAUGUGCAGACUGAAGUUUCAUCGGCCGACCUUCAGAUUAAAAAGAACAUUUUUCAAUAUACAAUAAUUUUUCUAAUUACUUCAAAAGUACCAGCUGAUAGAAGUAAAAUUUGGACAGCUGGUUCAGUGAACUUUGGAUGUUUUACUGAAAUGGGUUGAUUUAAAAAGCUUCAGGCAGAGCUGCGGACGGUGCAGGACUCCAUGCGGUUCCAACACCUUGUGACCAGGUUUUAUUUAAGUAAUUGCUCCAACUCAAUUGGUAAAUCCUUCAGCUAAUAGAUCAGGUCAGUUGGUAUGCCUGCUAAUGUGCAGGUCUUUAAGUAUUCUGUCCAAUAACUGGCCCUGUGCAGCACCUAAUCACAAAAGUAUUUAGAGUUCAGCCUGUUAAAUUCCACAUUUAACUCUGACGUUGGUAUUUAGCAUGCAGCCAAAUAAAUGGCUAAUUUAGCAGUCUGACUAAUGACUGAUGUGUUUAGCAUGCGGGCUAAUGAGCGAGCUGGAGGCUGAUUAGUAUUGCUCCACAGAGACACACCAGUGUUCUGUUUACUCAUCUCAUUCUCAGCUGCCUGAUGGAUACACACACAGAAACAGUUACUGGGAUUUUGGAAGUGUGUUUAUACAUGUGUGUGUGGUUAUCUGAGUGUUUGUUGAGGAUAGCAGUGAAAAAUAAGACUUUGUGCUGUUGUGGUUCAUUGAUUCUAGUGAGGCUGCUCCAUGGACGCUGAAACCGCACUCAUUAUAAUUUACUUAGUCCAUUUAGUAGAGGUAGUUUUGUGUUUGACUUUCAAAAAGAACUGCAACAAACAGGUUGUUAAACUAUUUAUAAAUUAAAAAAAUAAAUCUCUAGCAGGUGUUUUUUCCUCUAUCUGUUAAUUUACUAUUUACAGUGGGUUCAAAAGUAUUCACACCCCAAAGCAUUUCUAUAUAUUUUUUUUACAAAUGAAAAUGAAAAGUGCAGUAUGUAGAAGUAUCCAGCCCCCUGAGUCAAUCCUCUGUGGAACCAGGUUCUGCUGCUGUUGCAGCUGCUAGUCUUUAGGGUUUGUCUCCACCAGCUUUGAUCUGAAAUUUUUGCCCAUUCAUCUUUGCCAAACAGCUCAAGCUCAGUCAGACUGGAGGCAUUGUGAGAGCGUUUGUGAACAGCAACUUUCAGAUCUUGCCACAGAUUCUGGAUUGGGUUUAGCUAUGGACUUUGACUAGGCCAUUCUAAAACAUGAACAUGUUAUGGUAAAGGUGGUUGUUCUGCUGGAAGCUGAAUCUCUGCACCAGCUUGCAGUCUUUACACUCCUACAGGUUUUCUUCCAACAUUGCUCUGUAUUUGGCUCUAUAGGGAUGUGCGCUGAUUUGCCCAUGUGGUGAUGAAUAGGCAAAUCAGCCUAAGCCUCUUCUAAUCUUCUGUCUGCUGUGUUCCUUGGACUUCAUGAUGUUUUUGCUCUCCAAUAUUCUCUGAACCUCUGAAGCAUGACAGAGCAGCUGGAUUUGUUCUGACAUCAUGUUUCACACAGGUGGACUCUAUUCAGUCAUUAGCAGCCAUCAGGCAACUUCUGAGAGAAAUUGGCUGCACUCACACCAAUUUUAUUUUACAAAUAAAAAAACAACAUUUUUUAUUGGUAAAAAAUAUUUUGAAUGGUGGAUAAUUUUCUACAAUUGUGGACCUUUGUCUUGGUCUUUCAUAUUCAAUUCCAAUGAAAUAUACUUAUGUUUGUGGUUGUAAUAUGACCAAACAUGGUUGUAAAUAGAUAUGGAAAGGUUCAAGGGAUAUGAAUGCUUUUGUAAGUGACUGUAUUUGUUGUGCUUUUUGCAACUUGACAGCAGCUGGAUCACAUGUUCAGUGCAGAACAUGACAGCUUCUUUGGUGACCUUUUGGUUGUUGGGGUUUUACAGUGCAUUUAAGAGCCACACUCUGAUUACUUAAUCAUGGUUUUAUUAAUGUCAGUAAACACACAAAACCUGAUUCAGGAAGAAUAAACUGGGCUUGCCUUCAGCAUCACUGCUCAUCAUUUGCUCCCACAACCUGCUCCAUGUUUUAAGCAUGGUGAAAUAAAAUAAAAUAAGUAAAUGCUGACAGAAAUGCUAAUGGUAUUUUUAUUUGUCUUAUUUCUGCUCUUCUCCAUGAUGUGGUCUUGGUAUACUGAGGUCAGAUUGAAUCUGCUGAUGCAGAUAUGCUCACACAUUACAGAAACCAUUCAAUUAUGACCAUAGUUGGAUAUGUGAAACAAUACAGUAGAUCUCUAGUAUUUAGUAAGGGACUACAGCCAUCCACGAAUAGAUGAAAUCUGCAAAUACUUCCGACAUCUCUACAAACAAUUGCAACUGCUUAUCUUAAUUGUUCAAACGCUAAAUAUACUACAAUAAUCAUUAAUGUACAUGGUGGAAACCCCUUUGCUCUAUGGUAGAAGCUAACAUUUAUAGUCUUCAUUGUCUUGUCAUUGUCUACUUGUGAUGAUACAGCCAAUCAGCACCAAGGAAAAUGAAUGGUACUCCUGGAUUGGGUGGUUUGCAAACACCAGCGAAUAGCAUGUCAAGUGGCAUUGCUUCCAGGUUUCUGCUUCCCAAGCAGCAUUUUCUUGCAAAUAUUUUUCUACCAAAGUUACGUUCAGGAGAAAAAAAUCUGUUAAGUGGAUUUAUGAAUACUGAGACACUAAUAGACUGGGUUCCACUGGAGUUGCAUUAAAAAACCCCCAAAAACUGAAAAUUAGGCUCAACAAACAAAUUCCACAAAAACUGUUUAAAUAGUUUAAUAAAACUGAAGUUUAAACAAACUCAGACGUUUAACUUCUGAUCUCAGAGUUGUCCCUCUGAAGUCAGAAGAGAGCUUUGUCUCCGUCUAACAGCCUCACAACAAUACUGAUCAUCUGCAGCCUCACAGUGGAACACUACUAAAUUAAUGUUUGCUUGUUCAUUUUGGUUACUGCUGACAUCAUGUCCCUCAGGAAAAAAACUGACGUUUGUGGGUUCUUAGAAGUGCCAGCUGGUAAAUUUCAGUCGACCUUGCAAAGAAUGCAGACGCUCUGAAAAUACAUCUAGAGAGAACAUCAUUUCAGCAGCAAAAAUCAACCCAAGAAUAACUAAAUGUUCAACACAGAACUUCAAAAAUGUGAGUGUGAAAAAAAGGUUUAUACUCUUAUUUCCAGACCAGAAGGUUUUAUUUGGUUUUAUGCAGCCUGCUGCCCAAUGAAACACCAGUUGCAAAGACAUUUCAUGACUUCAUGAGCUGUUAAAACAACAUUUUCUGCUUUGACAAAAGAACUUUUAAUACUGCAGGGCUUAAAGUUCUGAAUUAGAAGUCUUCUCUUGAUAGUUUAUUUUUCCUCUUGCAGAUCUUAUGUUUGAAAAUUAAACAUUGAAUCUAUGAGCACAAAAUGUUUAACCACCACCUAACUGAUUUAGUAAAACAAUUAUAAGCUUUAGACAGAUCUUGACCACAUUACUGAUAAUUAUUUGACAUAUUUAUGAGGCAUCAGGAAGUAACUUUAAAAAUGUCUUUAAAAAAUCUUUUUUUUUCAAUGGUUAUAAAAAUCUAAAUGUCAUAUAUCUUUAAAUGUCAAGCAUGAAGUGGUUCAUACAUGUGCCUGCUACCAGACCUGCUGGGGUCAAAGGUCUCUGAUCAGUUUUACGUAUUAGCGGAUGGCUUUGUACCAUCAAAGUAAGAACUGUGUCUGAAUCUUGGAUAACGUUGGGAUUCCCAGUGAAGUGGCUGACACAGCUCUCCACCACCAGAUGGUGGACUGCUGUGUCACGAGGAACACAAGUGGGAGAGGAUUUCCAUUCAACUUGAUGCUGCCGUGCCGGAGCAUGUAUCCGAAGUGGCAGGGAACUUUGUGGCAAUGUGUAUCAGUGGUAUAUCCUAAGUGUUUGAGUACUGGUGGUCCAUUACCAGUACUCAAUGGAUCACCAGUCCAUUGAGUACUGGAGCAGCCCCUGGAGAACCAGGGGCUGCACCCUAGGCCACUCCUGGAAGGUUGAUACAACCUUCCAUAGUUUAAUAGUUCCCAUUAAACUAUUUGACAGUGACAAUAGUUUAAUGGUCACUGUCCCACAUGGGAAUCGAACCAUGUGUUUCCAUGUAUGGUUACAUCAUACAUAUACACGGGCUGAAAUCUUCGACUGUAUAAACAGUGGAAAGGGUCUGCCGGGUGGGAGGCAAGUGCUUUAACCAGUGCUACGGAGGUCACGUGACUUCUUGGGCCACAUCAUUAUCAUGUAUAUAAGCAGACAGGCGUCCUGACAGCUGGAAACUUCUUUACUGCUUCAUCAUUGUGAGAGACACGACCGGCAGCACACACGGGCUUUGGUAGGAGUGAACGGUAAGUUGUUUUUAAUGACUGAAAAUUGUUAAAAUGUGUUUAUUCUAAGAAAAAUAAGUAACUGCAUUUUUUUUUUGGCACAGCGGUCACAUGUCCUCACAGCUGCAGCUUGUCAACUGCACCGGCCAUACAGAAGCAGGAGCUCUGCCACUGCAGGUCACAUGACAUGAUGACUCAUCUGUUUGAUGGGGCAGGUGCAAGUUGUUAGCUGCUGCACUCAUUGUGAGGGAGACGGCAGAGCAGUGAGCAACAAGUGGAGAAACCGGAGCAUUUUGCACGUGCUUUUCUUGAGGGAGAGACAACGUUUGCCUACAGAAAUGAAGCCCCCAAAGUCUCCUCCACACUGCCCAAUAUGUGAAUAUCAAUUCAUUUAUCUGGGGAAACACCUGAUCAGCAAACAUUCAAUCUCAAACAAGUUGGAGAAAAGAAUAUUAAUUAACUAUGCCACAGGGCGAGUAAAUUUUCAUCACCUCUCCUGUCCAGUAGAGGGAUGCGACUUCAGCAAAACUCGAAUUGACAGACAUCUGGAGAUCGGCCACCCGGAGCUGGGUGAAGAAAAGGUGAAGGGCAUUGCUGAUGACCUGAAAAGAAAGGUCACCAUAACCAGCCUGAGGACCCUCAGGCUGGCUAUGGUGCCUGCCCAUGCUUUCUAGCUUGGACAUUGGCCAUGAUGAAAAUGAGAUGCUCCGGGAUGUGUCAGAUUCCUAGGCUCCCUCCAGCUCCUCCUGCUCCAAAUGCACCAAAAUGGCAGCGGAUACUAAGGAGCUGUGGAGGAAGCUGCGGAACAGACAGAGGUGGAUCAAGAAGGCCAAGGCCAAAAUCAAGUCCUUGGAGGAGACAAUAGAACUCAAGGACACGGACAACUCCCAUAGCCCUCUUCCAAGUGGGCAAGGUGACUCCACCACCACCCAGGACUUGCAGGAAUCAGAGGACGCACAACCCACCACCCAGGACGCACCGCUAAAACGAGGAUUGAAAAAGGGUCUUAAUAUUCUUCCUAAUUGCAGCCCCAUGUUAAAAUACAUGCUGCUCAAAAAAAUGCAGAAGUACAUGCCACAAAAGCGGCUCUUGCAUGCAAGGAGGGUUGCAAAGAAGUAGUUUAGAUCUUUUUUUUUUUUUUUUUGCAUUUUGAGUUUGAUUUUGUUUGCUGUGCGUGUUGUUUAUAUUGUACUUUUAUUUUGUAAAUUUUGUAAUAUAGUUUAAGUUCCUGGAAAUAUAUUGUUGUUUUUGUGUAAUUAAAUGUAAAUAUUCUUGUUUAAGCAAUGUCUCCCUUUUAUUAUAU